AUUGAACGCUGGCGGCAUGCUUUACACAUGCAAGUCGAGCGGCAGCGCGGGGGCAACCCUGGCGGCGAGCGGCGAACGGGUGAGUAAUGCAUCGGAACGUAUCCUCGAGUGGGGGAUAACCCAGCGAAAGUUGGGCUAAUACCGCAUGAGCUCUGAGGAGGAAAGCGGGGGACCUGCGAGGGCCUCGCGCUGGAGGAGCGGCCGAUGUCCGAUUAGCUAGUUGGUGGGGUAAAGGCUUACCAAGGCGACGAUCGGUAGCUGGUCUGAGAGGAUGAUCAGCCACACUGGGACUGAGGCACGGCCCAGACUCCUACGGGAGGCAGCAGUGGGGAAUUUUGGACAAUGGGGGCAACCCUGAUCCAGCCAUGCCGCGUGAGUGAAGAAGGCCUUCGGGUUGUAAAGCUCUUUCGGACGGAACGAAAUGGGCGGGACUAAUACUCCUGUCUGAUGACGGUACCGUAAGAAGAAGCACCGGCUAACUACGUG
Molecule: ribosomal RNA, 486 nt
Filed under: uncultured bacterium
Lineage: Bacteria
Description: partial 16S ribosomal RNA
Rfam family: Bacterial small subunit ribosomal RNA
Source: RNAcentral